Molecule: transfer RNA, 87 nt
Filed under: Candidatus Taylorbacteria bacterium RIFCSPHIGHO2_01_FULL_43_120
Lineage: Bacteria; Candidatus Tayloriibacteriota
Also listed under: 4 other names
Description: tRNA-Ser
Rfam family: tRNA
About the family: Transfer RNA (tRNA) molecules are approximately 80 nucleotides in length.
Source: RNAcentral
GGAGGAGUGCCAGAGUGGUCGAAUGGGCCGCACUCGAAAUGCGGUGUGCUCGUAAGGGUACCGUGAGUUCGAAUCUCACCUCCUCCG